RNAcentral lists this ribosomal RNA (243 nucleotides) under uncultured Actinomycetales bacterium. Its description in RNAcentral is "partial 16S ribosomal RNA". It matches the Rfam family "Bacterial small subunit ribosomal RNA", at positions 88 to 334 of the family's 1533-position model. Lineage: Bacteria; Bacillati; Actinomycetota; Actinomycetes; Actinomycetales. The record is from RNAcentral.
UACUCGAGUGGCGAACGGGUGAGUAACACGUGGGUGAUCUGCCCUGCACUUCGGGAUAAGCUUGGGAAACUGGGUCUAAUACCGGAUAGGAGCCAUCUUUAGUGUGGUGGUUGGAAAGUUUUUUCGGUGUAUGAUGAGCUCGCGGCCUAUCAGCUUGUUGGUGGGGUAAUGGCCUACCAAGGCGGCGACGGGUAGCCGGCCUGAGAGGGUGUACGGCCACAUUGGGACUGAGAUACGGCCCAG